Molecule: long non-coding RNA, 6205 nt
Organism: Poecile atricapillus (Black-capped chickadee)
Lineage: Eukaryota; Metazoa; Chordata; Aves; Passeriformes; Paridae
Exons: 5
Source: RefSeq, a predicted model, not a curated record
AGGUUUAUAUACAGCAGGGCAGGGCCUACCCUGCUCUCAGCAACAGGACAGCCAUUCCAUGAGAGGAAACUGCUGCUGUUCUUCCCUUGCCCAGUCAGAAUAAAUGGAGCAGCGGCAGCUGGCUGGCUGUGGUGCUUUCAGCAGACAUUCUGGGACUGCCACUGUGUUCUUGUGCACGUGGAGCAGCCUGUGCUCCCAAGAGUCUGCAGCAGGGAAUGAGUCCUUGAGAGCAGAGCCUCUGGAGCAGCACACUGGGACAUCAGCUACAAGCAGGGUGAGCUGAGAGUGGCAGUGACUGCACAGCCCCAGGCAGAUGCAGAACGAGGGGAGUCAGGCUGGUACCUGUGCCAGUUUGAUCUUGCUCCUUCCUCGGGGGCAAAGCAAACUUCCAGGUGUUUGCACCUGCUUCUGAAAUGGGGAUGGUGCUACACGUGGUCAAAGCAAUUCACAUUUUUGGUUGUAAGGUAAUGUGAGACUGAGACAGCACCACAAUGGGGACCAUGUGGACACUUGUGCAUGGACAGAAUAAUUCCAAAUGUUUGUGUUGCAUCAGUUCUGCAAAUGCUUUUUGUUACAGUGCAUAAAAGAUACAAUACCUGCCAGCAUUAGCUUUGUAAAGAGAAACCGUUUUCUUCUGUUGACUAAUUAUCCAGUGAAUAUAUUCAGUUUGAGGGGACACUUCAAUAAUUUAGCAGGCAUGUGCCAGGUAAUAUAGGAGCUUUUGUCUUACUGGUGGCACAGAUCUUGAAUUGUGUGUAACCCAAUCCCUGGCUUUAUGUAUUCAAGGAAGUCUUUGGUGUAUAGCUCCUGUAUCAAGUGCCACUGAAAAGCAGGCCUAGAUAAGAGAUUAAGGUAAUGCUCUUCCCUGGGCACAGGGAAAAUUUACCCUUUGCUGCCCAGGGUGUCUUUUUGCAGGCAGGAACUGCUUUAUACGUGAGGGGUGUGGAUAUGCUGAGAUCCAGCAAUGAGUUUUUUGUAGGAACAGAAAAAUGCUGCAAACUGCAUGUUAAAUACUCAGGUCAGCUAAGCCUGUCCUUGGGGGUGUAUUAACAAAUGCUUUGUUUGAUAGGAAAUGCUUUCUGUCAUUAAUGUUCCUUAAAUGCAGAUUGUUGAUUUGCUGGACCAGACAAGGAGAGGGAUAAUGUUCAGUUCCUGGGAACAUUCUGAAAUAAAACUGGAGUAAUGGAUUUUCUUCAACCCUUCCCAAGGUGCUUCCUCACAGUUGUGCCAUCUUCCAGAAAGGUGGAAGCUCAAAUGUCCUUUUCUGACCCACUGCAAACUGGUUCAGUCACCUCCCUUUCCUUGCCUAUAAAAUGCAUCUCACUACUGAUCUACAGCAAAGGGAGAUACAUUUUGUUUAGAAUAUGCCACAAUUAAUGCACUCAGUAACAGGUAGAGAUAAUGCAGUGGCUCAGACUAUUCUCAAAUGACUAAAUUGGAGUUCAAAUACAAUCUUUACUACCUUUUCUUCUUUGGAAGGACAGCUGUCUGCCAUGCUCCUACUGUAACAGUGGGAUUUAUAUGGAGUCAGGUGUCACUUAGUGACAGGUAAUUGUUUUCUGCAGAUACCUGACUCUUUUCCUUGGAGGUCUCCCUUUCCUAAAUAAUGUUCAUUUCUACUCUGCAGCAGCAGGGUUGCAGACAGCAGUUGGUUGUUUAGGCAUUAAUGUUUAAUUUAUGGAACAGUAUCUAUAUAAUUGUAAAGAAUAACAUCUACAUUUGUGGAACAUUGUCAGACUUCAAACACGAGUAUGUAGCAUUUCAGAAACGCUUUCACUGGGCUGAAACAGCUUUUCAAAUAACCACAGAAAGAUGGUAAAUGUCUAUUUAAAGAGAACAGCUUAGCAAAACCUUGUCAUUGAACCCUUCCAGCUUUUGUUCAGCCAUUGGCUGCGUGAUGCAGCUGGAGUCAUUCUGCAGUGCUGACCUGUGUUUGUCACAAUGGCUGAGCUCAUCCAGCUCAUCAUCUGAGCCCCUCUCUUUGGUGGCCCUGCAAACAGCAGCAGGGAGAUGAGAGAGAGGAUUAUUAAACUCUGGAAACUAUUCUGCAUGUGGCUUGGCCCAGGGUAACAUUUCCCUCUAGUGACCUACUUGCUACUACCUUGCUCUUAACAUCCUUAAGGAUGGUGCUGUCCCAGCCACACCUCUGGUAAGGAAACAGCAGAGUGGUUUUUUCUCCUUGUAGGCUGAUGAAAAUGUCCUUUGAGGUAAGACUGGCCCUGGCACCCCCAGGCUGGCAAAAGGAAAACCACAGUCCAAGCAGCAGAAUGGAUUUCCUGAUUUAGUACUGAUCCAUGCACUUCAUAUGUGCUUGACUUCAAAAUACAGAUCAGCUGACUUGCCAGCCUUUGUGUCCUCCUGAGAAUGCAUGUAAAACCUGCCCUCCUGUCUUGCACCUUUCUCUGUGUGCUUCCCCACUAACUAGAGGCAAGAUGGGCACUAAUUGGACCAUAAGAUUUAGCAGGCAGUGGCCUGCCUUUGUUUCACUUGCCCUGUUCAGCUGAUGUCACUGUCCUGUGGCAAUGUUGGGGACAGAGUGUUGCUGGUGACUGCCUGUCGAGCUGUUGAUGGCUUUUCCUCACCAGGAAUCACUGCUCCAGCAGAUUGGAUGUGGAUGUUGGACUGUCAGGAGCUGGGUGGCAUUGCCCAAGAGAGCUUUGACCCCUCCAGUCAGUGAUUGUGCUGCCCUGCUUUGGCACCAUCGUAACUGAUUCUUUUUGGAAAAGGCCCAUUUUGGACUUUUUGAUACCAUGUAGAAGCUGGGAUCAUCCUGCCCAGAUUUCAGUGCAGGUUCAUUGUGGGUGUUAAAUACCUUCUAAAAGUAUCACACCUGAAAAGUGAUAUCAGAGUAGAUGGAUUAUUUAUCUCAUUGCAUGUGAUGUGACAGAAGAGUCUGGAUUAGUGAGGACUAAAAUACAGCAACCUGGAGAAAAGGACCAAGGGGGGGAUCCAUGGGUGAGACCUGGAUUUGGGGAUACUUGAGCCAGUUCCUGAAGAGACUCUCCCUCCAUGACAUCACCAAAGGCAAACUUGAAGAAAUGGGCAGUAUUUUGGCCUAUAUAUUUAAUAUUCUGCUGAGGUGUAGAUGCUGUCAUAGCAGGAAAAUGUUUUCUGGAUCUGUCUUACAGCUCCUGGUCCCCAGUGCUUACUGCCAGCGGAGGAGCUGUGGUAGAAAAUCUGGAGAGGAACUUCUGUCCCAGAAACCACCACGAGCUGUGUGCUUUGUCCUGUUCCUUUUCUGCUUCUAACCCUUCAUCAUCCCUUCCCUGACUCCUAUGAAGUAAAGAAGAAACUAAGAUCAGCUAGUGAAGGAUUUCCUGGAUUUGUUGCAUAAUUUAGUUGCAAUAUGAACAUCUGCACUCUUCAUUAGUCAUUCACUACGAGGUCAAAUAGAGAUCAUCCCCGAGGUCACAGGAAAGGCAAGGGUUACCACUGCUCUAGGCCAAGACAUUACAAUACUGAUGAUGACAAAACUAUUUGGCAGGGUUGCCAACAAUGCCAAAAAACAAGCCACCAUCCUAAUCAAGGGCAGUAUUUUGAUUGUUCAGAAAGCCAGCCCAGCUCCCUGCUGUCACACUGUGACAAUCCCCAGCCCAGUGUCAUUCCAGCUCCCCAGAGUGCUCUGCCAGCGCUGGGAGAGUCUGUACACACAGCUCCCAGGAGCUGUACCUGGAUAAACAGUGAACUGGAGAUGGUGGAGGAGAAAUUCCCCAAGGGCAGAGUAAAAAGCAUCAAGAAAUGGAGGUGUCACCACUCAGGGUGGCUGCAGCACAUCUUCACCACUGAAGGGACACCACCACGGGGUCCACUGAAGCAGCUUUCCUUGCUCACCUGAUGCUUCCUGGUCCCAAACAGGUUGCUGUAACAUUAAGCCAGAUCACUCUAGAUGCCCACUAGAGCUGAUGGUCUGCUUGUGUGUCACCAGUGCAGCCAGCAAAAGGAUCAGCAUCCCCACUUCUGGAAUAUUCAGAAGAGGAAAUAGUCCUGUUGGAAGAUUCCUACAGAAACCAAAGCCAAAAGGCAGCCCUGAUUGGGAACCUCCUCUGCUCAAUUAUUUUGUUACAAGUGGCCCAAAGAAGAAUGAUUUUCAUUCUUCAAUUCUUGUUGCAGCAGCAGCUCUGGGUUAAGCAGUGGUUAUGGUGUGCUCAAGGCAGCAACCCAGAAAAUCUGACACAGAGGGCCCAGAUGCAGAAUUUCCUGCGAUAACCUAAACCAAAUGCCACUGAGUGCAGCUCCCCUCGAGAUCUCCCUGUUCACAGCCUCGCUGGUGGCCAGCAUCCAGACUGAGCAUUAGUAAAACCAACAAACCAAACAGUUCCCACAGCAGGGACCAUUUCUAUAUGGUUCUGUACCUGGAGAGCCUUGCAGUGCCACCUUCUCUAGGAUUUCCAGUGGAAUCCAGCACACUGGUUUGGUGAUCUGCAGCUGUUCCAUUCCACCUCUUGGAUAAUGCUGCUGAAGUCCACCAGAAGGAGCCUUUGUGUAUCAAUUUUGCAUAAGCCUUGAGGAAUGUAUUAACAUGUAAGUAAAACCCCAGUGAGUCCUCUUAACUGUGUUGAAUUAUCAUAAAAUUAAUCUUCCCAAUCUGAAUGAGAAUAGGAUGCUCUGGAUUUGCAAUACAAAUCCUGUGCAUUAAGGGUAUGGAUGGUUGUACACCCACUGCCAAAGAUGACUUUUCUCCCAGCCUCCUCAUUGACUGACCUGUGUAGUUUUAUUUCGUAAUAACUACAAAGGACUUAAUGCACCCCUACAAUAGUUUAUAUCAGGUCUGUGUUCUCCUGCUUGCUUGCAGUCUGCUCUUAGGUUUGUGCUGAGAAAUAUCCUGCCUUCCCCAAAGCAGCUUUGUACUUUGAGAUAUGCCUGUCUUUACAGGAGUUAUCUGUGGUCAGAGAAAGCUGAAAUAUAUACUUCUCAGGUACUCCUAUUGUUGCAGUAAACUGGCUCUGCCAAGCUCCUGCAGCUUUGAUCUGAUGGUUGGAUUUCAUCUGUAGGUGUUUUGAGGAGGAUGAGUGCUUUCCACAAGAAUGAGGCAGAAAAAAUAAAAGCAAAUUAAUUAACUUCCAUGAAGUUAUCCUUACUCACUUUCUCUUCCCCUUCCUGCUGUGUUUGUGGUAACAGCUCAUUAGAGCCUGUGUUUGCAAUAGCUGCACUAUUGAAAUCUCUCAGGAGAUUUCAUUUCCCGUCCUGCUUUCCAGGAUGUGGCAGAACCGAGGCCGCCUCCCCCAGCCACACCAGCAGUACCGGGGGUUUGCAGGCAGGUUUAGCCUUAACUCCUUUCUUGCUCUGUUCUGCCAGUAAGAGAACUCCAGUUCCUGCCUCAAGGGAAGAAGAGGAGCUGGGAUUUCUCCUUUGAGAGAUGUGGAGCUCAUGUUUGAAGAAGAAAAAAGCCUGUGCUGCUUUUCCCCCCCUGCUCACCAUAAGCAUCGAGAACAGAGAUGCUGCUGGUCUCUCUGGAGAACUUUGCCAGCCCUGCCUGCCCUGCAGAGGAGCCAGAGUCUGGUUGGAUGAUUUGAAUCUCUGCCAUCAUUUGGAGCAGAAUGAAGCUCUGUAAAAGGACAGUGACUGAAUGCCAACUGGGCUGUCAUUAGCUCGGGCAGCGCAGGAAGCAGCUGAUGUGCAGUUUGUGGUGGAAGUCAUGCAGACAGAAGGGGUGACUCAGGGGUGGAGAGGCCCCAGCCCUGGCUGCAGUCCAACCCCAAAGGUGUAUCCCAGGCUUGCUCUUCGGAUGGACCAGGGACACCUGCUGGCUCCACAAGACACAAAGGCCCCAAGGACCAUCCAUUUGCAGAAGGCUGUCCAUCUUCCAGUGAUGUUGGGUGCUGCUGGCCCAGCUCCAUCUUUCUUCCACAGUAAUCAAAGGAAAUGCACCCUAAUCUUGAAGUCUGGUGCUUCAGAAGUAAAAAGCUUAAUGGCUUUCCUUGGCUUUUUUUUUCUCUCUCUCUUUUAUGAAGCAUAGGGUGUUUAGAACUAUGGAAGCAGUGCAAGAAAAAUAUUAAUGAAUAACUAUGGAGUGCAGACAUUAAUGCAUUCCUUUCUCUUGAAAUAACUGGCUUUUCUCUGUGGGGUCUGUAACAAAAAAAGUGUCUGCAGAGUCUGAACCUGCUGUAUAGAAGCCAAAGUAGAUGAUGAUUUAGAACUUCACCGGCUUUUUUUUUUUUUCCUUUUUCUUUUUUCCUAAAAUGUUAUCUCUGCAUUUCUCAUGUUG